GGGUUCCUAGAGAUCAGGGCCCCUGGGCAUAUGAUAUCUGAGUGAGGGGCCCAUGGGGUUCCUAGAGAUCAGGGCCCCUGGGCAUAUGAUAUCUGAGUGAGGGGCCCAUGGGGUUCCUAGAGAUCAGGGCCCCUGGGCAUGUGAUAUCUGAGUGAGGGGCCCAUGAGAUCAGGGCCCCUGGGAAUGUGAUAUCUGAGGGAGAGACCCAUGGGGUUCCUAUGCCCAUGAUGAUUAACACAAGGUUUAGAUAGCUUCCUCGACUAACUCACCUAGCGAUCUAUAAAUGUUUUAGCUGACACGGCUAAUUGAGUGACUGUCAGUGGCUGACAGAAGGAGAGAAACAAACUGCUGAUGCACCACAGCAUUUAGAAACAGCACCUUGGCGUAUUCUACUAAUCUAACUCUCAACAGUAAAUGGAGAGCCCCUGACUGACCUCCUGAAAAACAUGAGGGUUUAAGGGCCCUAAUAGGCUGUUUAGAAAGAUGUUUAUCUGCUUCUGUACGCUGUUAUUACAUCUGCCAGCCCUCUAUAACUUCCCUUAUAGAUUAUUGAAUUGAUUAGUCUCUCUGUCUCUCUCCCUCUCUCUCUCCCUGUCUCUCUCUGUCUCUCUGUCUGUCUCUGUCUGUCUGUCUGUCUCUCUCUGUCUGUCUGUCUGUCUGUCUCUGUGUCUCUCUGUCUCUAUCUGUGUCUCUCUGUGUCUCUCUGUCUCUCUGUGUCUCUCUCUGUCUCUCUCUCUCUCUCUGUCUCUCUCUCUCUCUGUCUCUCUGUCUCUGUCUCUCUCUCUCUCUGUCUCUCUGUGUCUCUCUCUCUCUGUGUCUCUCUCUCUCUCUCUCUCUCUCUCUCUCUCUCUCUCUCUCUCUCUCUGUCUCUCUCUCUCUCUCUGUCUCUCUCUGUCUCUCUCUCUCUCUCUCUCUCUGUCUCUCUGUCUCUCUGUCUCUCUCUCUCUCUCUGUCUCUCUCUCUCUCUCUCUCUCUCUCUCUCUCUCUCUCUCUCUCUGUCUCUCUCUCUCUCUCUCUCUCUCUCUCUCUCUCUCUCUGUCUCUCUCUCUCUCUCUCUCUCUCUCUGUCUCUCUCUCUCUCUCUGUCUCUCUCUCUGGGAACCUUGGAUUAUAUUUGGGUUGGAGGAUACUGGUGCCAUGGUAACAAGGUUUGUGAUGCGGACCUUCACGGCACAAGAUAAGCUAACGCCCCCCUGUAAACAGUCAAGCGGUGGCUAUAAGACGGGGGUAUGUGACAAUAUAAACAUAACCCCCUGUAAACAUACAACGGCAUAUCAUGCUAUAACAAAAACGCUAGCUAACCACCGCUAACUACAGCAAGCUAACUACAGCUACCUACCGCUAGCUAACUACAGUUAACUACCGCUAGCUAACUACCGCUAGCUAACUACAGCUACCUACCGCUAGCUAACUACUGCUAGCUUACUACCGCUAGUUAACUACUGCUAACUACCGCUAGCUAACUACAGCUAACUACCGCUAGCUAACUACCGCUAGCUAACUACAGCUAACUACCGCUAGCUAACUACAGCUAACUACCGCCAGCUAACUACCGCCAGCUAACUACCACCAGCUAACUACAGCUAGCUAACUACCGCUAGCUAACUACAGCUAACUACCGCCAGCUAACUACUGCCAGCUAACUACCACCAGCUAACUACAGCUAACUACCACCAGCUAACUACCGCUAGCUAACUACUGCUAGCUAACUACCGCUAGCUAACUACCGCUAACUACCGCCAGCUAACUACCGCCAGCUAACUACCACCAGCUAACUACAGCUAACUACCGCUAGCUAACUACAGCUAUCUACCGCUAGCUAACUACAGCUAUCUACCGCUAGCUAACUACAGCUAUCUACCGCUAGCUAACUACAGCUAUCUACCGCUAGCUAACUACAGCUAUCUACCGCUAGCUAACUACAGCUAUCUACCGCUAGCUAACUACAGCUAUCUACCGCUAGCUAACUACAGCUAUCUACCGCAAGUUAACUGCCAAAAUAGGAAUAAUAACUAACUAUCGUACUUAUGGUAACUACCACCCCUAUUGGAAUCUGGCUACCUAUAAAUGCAGUCUCACUUUAAAGGAUUAUAAUCUCAUGCAUAAGAAGAAUUGACUAUUGGUUGCAGACUUUCCCGGAAUUCCAAAGGGUUUUUUUCUCCCAGAAAGUUACUGGAAAUGUUGUAACGACUAGAUUUGACCAAUCACACAGAUUCACUGAGGCCUGGAAUAUAGGCUAGAGAACAUGGGAAUGAUUCUAAAACACAUCAGAUCAGAUUUAAACCAAAUCAAAUGAUUCCUAAAACACAUCAGAUCAGAUUUAAACCAAAUCAAAUGAUUCCUAAAACACAUCAGAUCAGAUUUAAACCAAAUCAAAUGGUUCCUAAAACACAUCAGAUCAGAUUUAAACCAAAUCAAAUGAUUCCUAAAACACAUCAGAUCAGAUUUAAACCAAAUCAAAUGAUUCCUAA
Long non-coding RNA from Oncorhynchus tshawytscha (Chinook salmon), 2470 nucleotides. The record is from Ensembl. Lineage: Eukaryota; Metazoa; Chordata; Actinopteri; Salmoniformes; Salmonidae.